GAGUACGUGAAACUGCUUAGAGGUUAAGCCCGAUGAACCUGAAUAUCCAUUAUGGAAAAUUCAUCAUUAAUACUGUGGUAUAUAUUUUUAUAUCAUGGAAAUAGUGUGCAAUUUUUCCAUAUAAGGACAUUGUAAUCUGUUAAUGUUAUAAAUAUUUAUCAAAAGAUCUUUUACUCAUGUUUAUUCAAAUUAGUUAUUUUCGGAUUUCUAACAUAAAAUAAAUGUAAUGGAUUUGAUAAAUCAUUGACAGAUAUAAUUAUAUAAUGUGCUUAAAUUCUUUGUAAUUUUACAAUAAUGAGUAAAUCUAUUACUUAUUUAAUUGUAUGCACUAUUAUGAUUAACAAUGCGAUAGAUUCAGGAUACCUUCGGGACCCGUCUUGAAACACGGACCAAGGAGUCUAACAUAUGUGCAAGUCAUUGGGUAUUUUUAAUAAAACCCAAUGGCGUAAUUAACUUAACUGUUAAAAAUGGGAUUAGUUUAUAUUUUAUAAUGAAUUAUAAAUUCAAUCCCGGGGCGUUCUAUAUAGUUAUGCAUAAUGAUAUUUAUAUUAUUUAUGCCUCUAACUAGAGCGUACCUUGAGCUUAUAUGCUGUGACCCGAAA
RNAcentral lists this ribosomal RNA (602 nucleotides) under Platycheirus aff. harrisi ZFMK AHE266. RNAcentral's name for it is "partial 28S large subunit ribosomal RNA". It matches the Rfam family "Eukaryotic large subunit ribosomal RNA", at positions 393 to 821 of the family's 3401-position model. Lineage: Eukaryota; Metazoa; Arthropoda; Insecta; Diptera; Syrphidae. The record is from RNAcentral.